This 2904-nucleotide ribosomal RNA is filed under the name Dickeya zeae DZ2Q. RNAcentral's name for it is "bacterial LSU rRNA". It matches the Rfam family "Bacterial large subunit ribosomal RNA". Lineage: Bacteria; Pseudomonadati; Pseudomonadota; Gammaproteobacteria; Enterobacterales; Pectobacteriaceae. The record is from RNAcentral.
UUAAGCGACUAAGCGUACACGGUGGAUGCCUAGGCAGUCAGAGGCGAUGAAGGGCGUGCUAAUCUGCGAAAAGCGUCGGCAAGGUGAUAUGAACCGUUAUACCCGACGAUACCCGAAUGGGGAAACCCAGUGUGAUUCGUCACACUAUCAUUAACUGAAUCCAUAGGUUAAUGAGGCGAACCGGGGGAACUGAAACAUCUCAGUACCCCGAGGAAAAGAAAUCAACCGAGAUUCCCCCAGUAGCGGCGAGCGAACGGGGAGGAGCCCAGAACCUGAAUCGGCUUGUGUGUCAGUGGAAGCGUCUGGAAAGGCGCACGAUACAGGGUGACAGUCCCGUACACGAAGAUGCACAGGUUGUGAGUUCGAUGAGUAGGGCGGGACACGUGGUAUCCUGUCUGAACAUGGGGGGACCAUCCUCCAAGGCUAAAUACUCCUGACUGACCGAUAGUGAACCAGUACCGUGAGGGAAAGGCGAAAAGAACCCCGGCGAGGGGAGUGAAAUAGAACCUGAAACCGUGUACGUACAAGCAGUGGGAGCACCUUUAGGGUGUGACUGCGUACCUUUUGUAUAAUGGGUCAGCGACUUAUAUUCUGUAGCAAGGUUAACCGAAUAGGGGAGCCGCAGGGAAACCGAGUCUUAACUGGGCGUCUAGUUGCAGGGUAUAGACCCGAAACCCGGUGAUCUAGCCAUGGGCAGGUUGAAGGUUGGGUAACACUAACUGGAGGACCGAACCGACUAAUGUUGAAAAAUUAGCGGAUGACUUGUGGCUGGGGGUGAAAGGCCAAUCAAACCGGGAGAUAGCUGGUUCUCCCCGAAAGCUAUUUAGGUAGCGCCUCGUGAACUCAUCUUCGGGGGUAGAGCACUGUUUCGGCUAGGGGGCCAUCCCGGCUUACCAACCCGAUGCAAACUGCGAAUACCGAAGAAUGUUAUCACGGGAGACACACGGCGGGUGCUAACGUCCGUCGUGAAGAGGGAAACAACCCAGACCGCCAGCUAAGGUCCCAAAGUCAUGGUUAAGUGGGAAACGAUGUGGGAAGGCCCAGACAGCCAGGAUGUUGGCUUAGAAGCAGCCAUCAUUUAAAGAAAGCGUAAUAGCUCACUGGUCGAGUCGGCCUGCGCGGAAGAUGUAACGGGGCUAAAACCAUGCACCGAAGCUGCGGCAGCGACACUAUGUGUUGUUGGGUAGGGGAGCGUUCUGUAAGCCUGUGAAGGUGGCCUGUGAGGGCUGCUGGAGGUAUCAGAAGUGCGAAUGCUGACAUAAGUAACGAUAAUGCGGGUGAAAAACCCGCACGCCGGAAGACCAAGGGUUCCUGUCCAACGUUAAUCGGGGCAGGGUGAGUCGACCCCUAAGGCGAGGCUGAAAAGCGUAGUCGAUGGGAAACAGGUUAAUAUUCCUGUACUUGGUGUUACUGCGAAGGGGGGACGGAGAAGGCUAUGUCAUCCGGGCGACGGUUGUCCCGGUUUAAGCGUGCAGGUGGGUGGACCAGGUAAAUCCGGUCUGCUGUUAACACUGAGGCGUGAUGACGAGGCACUACGGUGCUGAAGUGACAGAUGCCCGGCUUCCAGGAAAAGCCUCUAAGCAUCAGGUAACAUUGAAUCGUACCCCAAACCGACACAGGUGGUCAGGUAGAGAAUACUCAGGCGCUUGAGAGAACUCGGGUGAAGGAACUAGGCAAAAUGGUGCCGUAACUUCGGGAGAAGGCACGCUCCUGUUGGUGAAGUCCCUCGCGGAUGGAGCUGACGGGAGUCGCAGAUACCAGCUGGCUGCAACUGUUUAAUAAAAACACAGCACUGUGCAAACACGAAAGUGGACGUAUACGGUGUGACGCCUGCCCGGUGCCGGAAGGUUAAUUGAUGGGGUUAUCCGUAAGGAGAAGCUCUUGAUCGAAGCCCCGGUAAACGGCGGCCGUAACUAUAACGGUCCUAAGGUAGCGAAAUUCCUUGUCGGGUAAGUUCCGACCUGCACGAAUGGCGUAAUGAUGGCCAGGCUGUCUCCACCCGAGACUCAGUGAAAUUGAACUCGCUGUGAAGAUGCAGUGUACCCGCGGCAAGACGGAAAGACCCCGUGAACCUUUACUAUAGCUUGACACUGAACCUUGAGCCUUGAUGUGUAGGAUAGGUGGGAGGCUUUGAAGUGUGGACGCCAGUCUGCAUGGAGCCAACCUUGAAAUACCACCCUUUAAUGUUUGAUGUUCUAACCUGGGCCCGUAAUCCGGGCCGGGGACAGUGUCUGGUGGGUAGUUUGACUGGGGCGGUCUCCUCCCAAAGAGUAACGGAGGAGCACGAAGGUUAGCUAAUCCUGGUCGGACAUCAGGAGGUUAGUGCAAAGGCAUAAGCUAGCUUGACUGCGAGAGUGACGGCUCGAGCAGGUGCGAAAGCAGGUCUUAGUGAUCCGGUGGUUCUGAAUGGAAGGGCCAUCGCUCAACGGAUAAAAGGUACUCCGGGGAUAACAGGCUGAUACCGCCCAAGAGUUCAUAUCGACGGCGGUGUUUGGCACCUCGAUGUCGGCUCAUCACAUCCUGGGGCUGAAGUAGGUCCCAAGGGUAUGGCUGUUCGCCAUUUAAAGUGGUACGCGAGCUGGGUUUAGAACGUCGUGAGACAGUUCGGUCCCUAUCUGCCGUGGGCGUUGGAAGAUUGAGGGGGGUUGCUCCUAGUACGAGAGGACCGGAGUGAACGCACCGCUGGUGUUCGGGUUGUCAUGCCAAUGGCACUGCCCGGUAGCUACGUGCGGAAGAGAUAACCGCUGAAAGCAUCUAAGCGGGAAACUUGCCCCGAGAUGAGUCUUCCCUGGGCCCUUGAGGCCCCUGAAGGGACGUUCGAGACGAGGACGUUGAUAGGCUGGGUGUGUAAGCGUAGUGAUACGUUGAGCUAACCAGUACUAAUGACCCGAGAGGCUUAACCUU